GGCAACCACACACGUGAAAAAGAAGUAGGCAAUGAGACUAAAGAGAAUCCUUGGGCUCACUUCCCCAUGGUCAUUCCGUUUAACAUCUUCAAAUGUAUAAGGUUGUUAAUGCCUUUUUUAGGACUAUGUGCUUUGGUCCUCUGUGAUUCAGAGUCCAUCUGGAAUCUCUUCAUGGCCGCUGCCUCGCUGGCACGGGCUUUGGACUGAAGCAAGCUUAGGACAAGUUUGGGUUCUAGAGAGCGGCAAGCAGAGUAUCUGUUCGGACAUCCCUUGCUGAUUUUUAGAUGUGACUGCCAGACUCCUGCUGGUCUCAGGUCCAGAGCCCUGGCCGCACCCCCCCCCCCUUCCUCAACCAACGUCUUACCAGUCUUCCUCAACCAACGUCAACUCCCAGGGCUGACACCUUGGAACAUGGCCUCUCUCAAGCCUCAAGCCCCAAGCUGAGCUCCUGUCCCUACCUCAGGCAGGAUCUCACGGAUGCUUCUAAUGAAGUUCUCUCCGACUCUGUCUGAGCACCCACCACGCGAGGAAGGAGCUGCGGCCGACGGCCCUCAGCCCCGGCUGCUGACAGCAGCGAUCCAUCUCCAUCACCAUGAAAAUCUCAGGCCCAGCUUGGUUGGGAAACCUACUGAAGGAAAACCCUAUAGUUAGAAAACAGAGAGCCAACAUAUGCUCCCCAACUGGAG
Molecule: long non-coding RNA, 686 nt
Organism: Mus musculus (house mouse)
Lineage: Eukaryota; Metazoa; Chordata; Mammalia; Rodentia; Muridae
Product: predicted gene, 35867
Exons: 3
Source: RefSeq, a predicted model, not a curated record